Molecule: small RNA, 125 nt
Filed under: Marmota monax (woodchuck)
Lineage: Eukaryota; Metazoa; Chordata; Mammalia; Rodentia; Sciuridae
Source: RNAcentral
GCCAGGCCUCGUGGCGCAUGCCUGCAAUCCCAGCAGCUCUGGAGGCUGAGGCAAGAGGAUCACGUGUUCAGAGCCAGUCUCAGCAAAAGUGAUGCACUAAGCAAUUCAGUGAGACCCUGUCUCCA